AAACGCGAAAGGUAAUGCGAAUUGCAGAAUCAGUGAGUCAUCGAAUCUUUGAACGCACAUUGCGCCUCUCGGUAUUCCGGGAGGCACGCCUGUUCGAGCGCCAUUACAAACUCCAAGCGUGGCUUGAUGUUGGGCGAUGUCUUUUUGCGAGAGCGGAGACACGCCUGGAACGCGUUGGCGCCGCCGCCGGACCACGAGCGUAGCAAGACGAGAGUCAAUCGCAUCGAUUUGGAUUCCGACGGAGGUCCGCCAUGGGACUGCACUUUCGAGUGUAAGUUCACAACUUCUCUCAAGUUUGGCCUCGGAUCAGGCGGGGAUACCCGCUGAACUUAAGC
This 335-nucleotide unclassified non-coding RNA is filed under the name plant metagenome. RNAcentral describes it as "partial contains 5.8S ribosomal RNA, internal transcribed spacer 2, and large subunit ribosomal RNA". The stretch from base 1 to 103 matches the Rfam family "5.8S ribosomal RNA", at positions 51 to 154 of the family's 154-position model. The record is from RNAcentral.